CUACGGGAGGCAGCAGUGGGGAAUAUUGGACAAUGGGGGAAACCCUGAUCCAGCAAUGCCGCGUGUGUGAAGAAGGCCUGCGGGUUGUAAAGCACUUUCGGUUGGGAGGACUGCUUCUAGCACUAAUAUUGUUGGAAGUUGACGUUACCUUCAGAAGAAGCACCGGCUAACUCCGUGCCAGGCAGCCGCGGUAAUACGGAGGGUGUAAGCGUUAAUCGGAAUUACUGGGCGUAAAGCGCGCGUAGGCGGCUAGAUCAGUCGGGUGUGAAAGCCCCGGGCUUAACCUGGGAACUGCAUCCGAUACUGUCUAGCUUGAGUACAGGAGAGGAGAGUGGAAUUCCACAUGUAGCGGUGAAAUGCGUAGAUAUGUGGAGGAACACCAAUGGCGAAGGCAGCUCUCUGGCCUGAUACUGACGCUGAGGUGCGAAAGCGUGGGGAGCAAACAGGAUUAGAUACCCCAGUAGUC
Molecule: ribosomal RNA, 466 nt
Filed under: uncultured bacterium
Lineage: Bacteria
Description: partial 16S ribosomal RNA
Rfam family: Bacterial small subunit ribosomal RNA
Source: RNAcentral